RNAcentral lists this ribosomal RNA (322 nucleotides) under uncultured Sandona. RNAcentral's name for it is "SSU rRNA". It matches the Rfam family "Eukaryotic small subunit ribosomal RNA", at positions 634 to 955 of the family's 1831-position model. The record is from RNAcentral. Lineage: Eukaryota; Cercozoa; Glissomonadida.
GAUUUCUGAACACAAGUGUCUGGUCGGCCACGGUUUCGUGUGUUAGUGCUUGACCCUUGGUUCAUCCUUUCAAUUGCUAUGGAUGGAUCUUCAUUGAUUGGUCCGUAGUAUUGAAUCUUUUACUUUGAAAAAAUUAGAGUGUUUCAAGCAGGCUUUAUGCUAUGAAUACAUUAGCAUGGAAUAAUAAUUUAGGACUUCGGUUCUAUUUUGUUGGUUUCUAGGACUGAAGUAAUGAUUGAUAGGGAUAGUUGGGGGUGCUAGUAUUCAGCGGCCAGAGGUGAAAUUCUCGGAUUCGCUGAAGACUAACUUAUGCGAAAGCAUU